Molecule: ribosomal RNA, 467 nt
Filed under: uncultured bacterium
Lineage: Bacteria
Description: bacterial SSU rRNA
Rfam family: Bacterial small subunit ribosomal RNA
Source: RNAcentral
CAGAACGAACGCUGGCGGCAGGCUUAACACAUGCAAGUUGAACGGGAUUUGGUGGUAGCUUGCUAUCAUUAAUGAGAGUAGCGCACUGGUGAGUAACACGUGGGAACAUGCCUUUUGGUGGGGGACAACAGUUGGAAACGGCUGCUAAUACCGCAUAAGCCCGGGAGGGGAAAGAUUUAUUGCCGAAAGAUUGGCCCGCGGAAGAUUAGGUAGUUGGUGGGGUAAAGGCCUACCAAGCCGACGAUCUAUAGCUGGUCUGAGAGGACGAACAGCCACAUUGGAACUGAGACACGGUCCAGACUCCUACGGGAGGCAGCAGUGAGGAAUAUUGGGCAAUGGAGGAAACUCUGAACCCCAGCCAUGCCGCGUGAGUGAAGAAGGUUUUCGAAUUGUAAAGCUCUUUCGGGUGUGACGAUGAUGACGGUAACACCUAAAGAAGCCCCGGCAAACUUCGUGCCAGCAGCAGC